This 568-nucleotide ribosomal RNA is filed under the name uncultured Bacteroidota bacterium. Its description in RNAcentral is "bacterial SSU rRNA". It matches the Rfam family "Bacterial small subunit ribosomal RNA", at positions 1 to 564 of the family's 1533-position model. Lineage: Bacteria; Pseudomonadati; Bacteroidota. The record is from RNAcentral.
UAGAGUUUGAUCCUGGCUCAGGAUGAACGCUAGCGGCAAGCUUAAUACAUGCAAGUCGAGGGGCAGCAUGAAGUAGCAAUACUUUGAUGGCGACCGGCAAACGGGUGCGGAACACGUACACAACCUUCCUUUUAGUGGGGAAUAGCCCAGAGAAAUUUGGAUUAAUACCCCGUAACAUAACGAUGUGGCAUCACAUUGUUAUUAUAGCUUCGGCGCUAGAUGAUGGGUGUGCGUAUGAUUAGAUAGUUGGCGAGGUAACGGCUCACCAAGUCUACGAUCAUUAGCUGAUGUGAGAGCAUGAUCAGCCACACGGGCACUGAGACACGGGCCCGACUCCUACGGGAGGCAGCAGUAAGGAAUAUUGGUCAAUGGACGCAAGUCUGAACCAGCUAUGCCGCGUGAAGGAUUAAGGUCCUCUGGAUUGUAAACUUCUUUUAUCUGGGACGAAAAAAGGUCUUUCUAGAUCACUUGACGGUACCAGAUGAAUAAGCACCGGCUAACUCCGUGCCAGCAGCCGCGGGAAUAACGAAGGGGGGGAGCGGGAUUCCCGGUUACCCGGGGGUUUAAA